CCCAGACUCCUACGGGAGGCAGCAGUGGGGGAUAUUGCACAAUGGGGGGAACCCUGAUGCAGCGACGCCGCGUGGGUGAAGGAGCGUUUCGGCGCGUAAAGCCCUAUCGGCAGGGAAGAAGGAGGACGGUACCUGACUAAGAAGCCCCGGCUAACUACGUGCCAGCAGCCGCGGUAAUACGUAGGGGGCAAGCGUUAUCCGGAUUUACUGGGUGUAAAGGGGGCGCAGACGGCAGCGCAAGCCAGGAGUGAAAGCCCGGGGCCCAACCCCGGGACUGCUCUUGGAACUGCGCGGCUGGAGUGCAGGAGGGGCAGGCGGAAUUCCUGGUGUAGCGGUGAAAUGCGUAGAUAUCAGGAGGAACGCCGGUGGCGAAGGCGGCCUGCUGGACUGCGACUGACGUUGAGGCCCGAAAGCGUGGGGAGCAAACAGGAUUAGAUACCCCCGUAC
Molecule: ribosomal RNA, 447 nt
Filed under: uncultured bacterium
Lineage: Bacteria
Description: partial 16S ribosomal RNA
Rfam family: Bacterial small subunit ribosomal RNA
Source: RNAcentral